UUGAAUUAUAUUUUGAUUUAGGGAAAAUAAAGGAAAAUGAUAAUUACAUUUUCCUUAGCUAGGUUUUGAAGAUUGAGGCAUUUAAAUAGAAAAUAAGAAAGAGGUUGAAGGCUCAUUUGGGAUGGAGGGCUGCCAAAUUAUAGAGAGAAGAGAGAGAGAGAGAGAGGGCGUGACCUAGAGAGAGAAGAAGAAGAAGAAAGGAAGAAGAAGAAGAAGAAAAAGGGUUCAAGCUAGGGGUUUGAGCAAGGAGGUUAUUGGAUUCUUGAUUGGAUUGGAUUCUUGAUUUUCUAUCAAGAAGAGGUAGCAAAUAGGAUUUCUCUAUGGCACGCGUGGUGACGUGAGGAGUUCUAUCGUCGUAGGGUGUAUGGCAUGGGGUAUCCUAUGGACGGAAUAAACGAUCACUUUAGGACGCCAUUUUAAUUAUGUUUUUAAGAGACUUUCUAAAUUAUCAGUGGGACUUAAUUAUUUAAUAUUGUUUCUUUUGAACUUUGCAUAAAAACUCAUAUUUUCUUUUUAAACUAAUGGGCCCAGCUUGCAUUGUUUUAAGCAAGUCCCCACUGAGACCUUUA
Humulus lupulus (European hop) is the source of this 569-nucleotide long non-coding RNA. RefSeq lists it as uncharacterized. NCBI's taxonomy places the organism in Eukaryota, Viridiplantae, Streptophyta, Magnoliopsida, Rosales, Cannabaceae. The transcript is spliced from 3 exons. The record is from RefSeq and is a predicted model, not a curated record.